RNAcentral lists this ribosomal RNA (445 nucleotides) under uncultured bacterium. Its description in RNAcentral is "bacterial SSU rRNA". It matches the Rfam family "Bacterial small subunit ribosomal RNA", at positions 331 to 793 of the family's 1533-position model. The record is from RNAcentral.
CCAGACUCCUACGGGAGGCAGCAGUGGGGAAUAUUGCACAAUGGGGGAAACCCUGAUGCAGCGACGCCGCGUGAGUGAAGAAGUAUCUCGGUACGUAAAGCUCUAUCAGCAGGGAAGAAAAUGACGGUACCUGACUAAGAAGCCCCGGCUAACUACGUGCCAGCAGCCGCGUUAAUACGUAGGGGGCAAGCGUUAUCCGGAUUUACUGGGUGUAAAGGGAGCGUAGACGGCAGCACAAGUCUGGAGUGAAAUCCCGGGGCUUAACCCCGGAACUGCUUUGGAAACUGUGCGGCUGGAGUGCAGGAGGGGUAAGCGGAAUUCCUAGUGUAGCGGUGAAAUGCGUAGAUAUUGGGAGGAACACCAGUGGCGAAGGCGGCCUGCUGGACAUUAACUGACGCUGAGGCGCGAAAGCGUGGGGAGCAAACAGGAUUAGAUACCCUCGUAG